GACGAACGCUGGCGGCGUGCUUAACACAUGCAAGUCGAACGAAGAGCGAUGGAAGCUUGCUUCUCUCAAUCUUAGUGGCGAACGGGUGAGUAACGCGUAAUCAACCUGCCCUUCAGAGGGGGACAACAGUUGGAAACGACUGCUAAUACCGCAUACGAUCUAAUCUCGGCAUCGAGGAUAGAUGAAAGGUGGCCUCUACAUGUAAGCUAUCACUGAAGGAGGGGAUUGCGUCUGAUUAGCUAGUUGGAGGGGUAACGGCCCACCAAGGCGAUGAUCAGUAGCCGGUCUGAGAGGAUGAACGGCCACAUUGGGACUGAGACACGGCCCAGACUCCUACGGGAGGCAGCAGUGGGGAAUCUUCCGCAAUGGACGAAAGUCUGACGGAGCAACGCCGCGUGAGUGAUGACGGCCUUCGGGUUGUAAAGCUCUGUUAAUCGGGACGAAAGGCCUUCUUGCGAAUAGUGAGAAGGAUUGACGGUACCGGAAUAGAAAGCCACGGCUAACUACGUG
RNAcentral lists this ribosomal RNA (510 nucleotides) under uncultured bacterium. Its description in RNAcentral is "partial 16S ribosomal RNA". It matches the Rfam family "Bacterial small subunit ribosomal RNA", at positions 28 to 507 of the family's 1533-position model. The record is from RNAcentral.